RNAcentral lists this ribosomal RNA (170 nucleotides) under Lagocephalus lagocephalus (oceanic puffer). RNAcentral's name for it is "partial 12S ribosomal RNA". Lineage: Eukaryota; Metazoa; Chordata; Actinopteri; Tetraodontiformes; Tetraodontidae. The record is from RNAcentral.
CACCGCGGUUAUACGAGCGACCCAAGUUGUUAAUCCUCGGCGUAAAGGGUGGUUAGAGUACCCCAAAAAACUAAGGCCGAACACCUUCAGGGUAGUUAUACGCUUUCGAAGGCAUGAAGCACACCCACGAAAGUAGCCUUAUCCAACUUGAACCCACGAAAGCUAAGGUA